This 464-nucleotide ribosomal RNA is filed under the name uncultured bacterium. RNAcentral describes it as "partial 16S ribosomal RNA". It matches the Rfam family "Bacterial small subunit ribosomal RNA", at positions 28 to 507 of the family's 1533-position model. The record is from RNAcentral.
GACGAACGCUGGCGGCGUGCUUAACACAUGCAAGUCGAACGAUCAGGCCAGCUUGCUGGUGGAUUAGUGGCGACCGGGUGAGUAACACGAGGGUGAUCUUCACCAACCUUUGGGAUAAGCCUGGGAAACUGGGUCUAAUACCGAAUAUGACCGAUACUCGCAUGGGUGUUGGUGGAUAGCUCCGGCGGGUUGGGAUGGGCCCGCGGCGUAUCAGCUUGUUGGUGGGGUGAUGGCGUACCAAGGCGACGACGGGUGGCCGGCCUGAGAGGGCGACCGGCCACCCAGGGACUGAGGCACGGCACAGGUUGCUAUGGGAGGCAGCAGUGGGGAAUAUUGCAGAAUGGGCGCAAGCCUGAUGCAGCGACGCCGCGUGAGGGAUGACGGCCUUCGGGUUGUAAACCUCUUUCGCCAGGGACGAAGCGAAAGUGACGGUACCUUGAGAAGAAGCACCGGCCAACUACGUG